UACAGAGGGUGCGAGCGUUAAUCGGAAUUACUGGGCGUAAAGGGUGCGUAGGUGGUUAAUUAAGUCAGAUGUGAAAUCCCAAGGCUUAACCUUGGAAUGGCAUUUGAUACUGGUUAGCUAGAGUACAGAAGAGGGAAGUGGAAUUUCCGGUGUAGCGGUGAAAUGCGUAGAUAUCGGAAGGAACAUCAGUGGCGAAGGCGACUUCCUGGUCUGUUACUGACACUGAGGCACGAAAGCGUGGGGAGCGAACAGGAUUAGAAACCCCCGUAGUCC
Molecule: ribosomal RNA, 273 nt
Filed under: uncultured bacterium
Lineage: Bacteria
Description: partial 16S ribosomal RNA
Rfam family: Bacterial small subunit ribosomal RNA
Source: RNAcentral